AACCGCGGUUAUACGAGAGGCCCAAGUUGAUAGGAAUCGGCGUAAAGGGUGGUUAAGGGUUAUUACAAAAUAAAGCCAAAGAUUCUCAAUGCUGUUAUACGCUCUCGAGGACUCGAAGCCCCACCACGAAAGUGGCUUUACCCCACCCCGAACCCACGAAAGCCAGGGUA
Molecule: ribosomal RNA, 170 nt
Filed under: Parupeneus cyclostomus (goldsaddle goatfish)
Lineage: Eukaryota; Metazoa; Chordata; Actinopteri; Syngnathiformes; Mullidae
Description: partial 12S rRNA
Source: RNAcentral